UUUUACUACUUACCCUAACUUCACAGGGACUUCUUUAGAUGUGUACGGUUGUCAGAUCAGAAGAUUAAAAUCAAAAGCGUUAACUGAGAAAUCCCUCACAACAACAUGAUGGCAAGUUGAUUUCCUCUUGUAUGGCAACUUCAUAGACUGGGAGUGGCUUCUUGGAGCACAAUAUUGAAAAAGAUAUUAAAGCCAUAUGUGGUCUCGGUGGCAUAUGGUGCUGUGAUCUACUAAGGAUGGGGAAGAAUGCAUGGUGCUCUAAAUGCUAUGUGUUGCUCCACUCAGAAUUAGCAAAUAUGACCCAGUGGCUGUCUUGAUGUCUCACAGCAGGAAGAGACUCUCUCAAAUAGGUGUACACAUGGGGAGAGAGAGAGCAAGGAGACUGAGAUACAAUCAGCCACCAGCAAGUUGUCUUGAUUUUCUGAAUGGAGCGUGGUAGCAUGUUAUAGAGUCCAAGGAAUUUGCCAAAUCCGUGUGAGAAGAUUUGCCUCUCACAUGUGAGAGAAUUUUUUGAGAAAAAAAAGAUCCUGACCCCGUCCCUCUGCCACCACCCGAGUGAGGAAGACUGACAGAGCACAUUGGCUUGCUGUGGAGACAAGAUCAGGGAAAGCGCCCCUGAAAAGAAAGCAUUUUGGAAGUCCUGAAGGUGGAGAAGGAGAUUUAGAGGAAGAGUGAUAAAUCAGAAGUCUUCGUCCAAGAAUUAGCUUUGCACCAUCUACAGACCUAAGCAGCUGCAGGAAUGCCCUCUCCAAACAUGCCUAUCGAAUAAGGUCCUGUUCAUGAUGCAAAUCUCUAUGUGAUCUUCCUCCGGAAUUCUUGAGCCCAUGGUGAGCCAGCUUCGGGAUUGCAACUGAGAAGUGGGACUAUUAAAAGAAAGUCAUGCCCAGGUGGCUCACCAAGCUGGAGAAGGGACAAGAGACCUCUGGAGCUUCGCCUUUAUAGCUGAUUGCUUUUUGAAUCCCAGCCAUCCCAGCCUCCACAGUCUGAAGCAGAAACAUCUCAUCCAAACUGCAUUUGUGUGAGCAAGAAAUAAAUGCAGACAGUUAUAUGCCAAGGAGAUUUUAUAGUUGCUUGUUAUGUAAUAACAAUGACUAAUAGAGAAAUGAUUGAAGAGUACUGAAUCACAACAUUACUAGCUCAACCUGCUCCCCAGAAAAUUGCUAAUAAAGACAAUAAUAACAAGAAUUCCCUCUUAUUAAUGCCUAUCAAAUGCCAGCAAUAACUAGAUGCUUUGCACAUUGUAAUCUCAUUUUAUCCUAGGAAGACAACAACUCUGUGAAGUUGGUGAUCUUAUCCCUAUUUCAUUCCCAGGAAAUUAGGAUUCAGAAAUGGCUUAUAGAUUUUCAGAGAUCACAAAGUUAAGAAGUAUCAAUUCCAAGCUUACAAACCAAAGACUUUAGACUAUAAAAUCCCUACCUGUUAGCUGGUGCCAAUGUGGCAAGAUUUACCUUUACUUCUCUUCAGCUUAUCUUUCCAUCAUUCCAUUCCCACAUUUCCACUCCCAUUCCCCAGCCCAUGUAAUUCCUAUUGAGUGCUGUAACUUUAUUCUAUUUAAUGCUAAGUUGUAAGGGCUCAGAAUUUAAGUUGCCUUUCAUGGUAUCCUAAUUUUGGUAGUAGGGAAUAGAUAGGCAUAGAUGGGGUGAAAAAAUGCGUUCAUAUAUUUGUAGAAUGCUCAUAGCAAAAAACAAAAUGAAGUUAUCUUAACUAUGUCAAAAGUUUUAGUGAAUCCAAAUAAUGUACACACAAAAAAAAUUUUAAAUAAAAGCAAGAGUUGCAUAAGAAACAAAUAUUUAGGAAGAAUUGGGAUGUCUAUCGCCACCCACAAAAUUAGAGAGUUAUUAUAUCCCCUGAUUGUAGAUCAGGAACAGUAGUCAAAGGGAUUAUUUGAAAAUGCAAAUCUGAUUAUGUCGCUUACAUUUUAAUAGGUAGAGACAGUCAGUAAUUGCUAUGGCCUGAAUGUUUGUGUCCUAAAAUUCAUAUGUUGAAACCUAAUUAUCAAAGUGAUGGUAUUAUCAUGUAGGCCUCUGGCAAAUGAUUUGAUUUUGAAGAUGGAGCCUGUAUGAAUGGGAUUAGCGUCCUUAUAAAACAGACACAAGGAAGCUCAUUGGCUCUUUCUACCCUGUGAGCAUGCAAAAAGAAGGUACCAAUUAUGAAGCAGAAUGUGGGUCCCCACGAGAUGCUGAAUCUGUUCAUACCUUGAUUUUAGAUCUUCCAGCCUGUGGAAAUGUGAGAAAUAAAUUUUUUUAAACCACGUAGUCUAUGGCAUUUGUUAUAGCAGCAUAUACAGAUUAAGGCAGUAAUUUUACAGAUUGGUAGGUUUUAGAAAGAGACACAGGUUUUGAGGAAACUUGUGUCCCUUUUGAAAAGGGUGUUCCAGACAUAAGGAAUAUUCAGUGCAAAGGUGUUAAGGCAAAAGAGUGUAUCUAAUAUUUUCCAGGAACGUUAAAGGCAGUAUGUCUGGAAAGAGUGCAUUGUUGUAGGAUAAUAGGAGAUAUUAUCAGAAAGAUAAGAAACAGACAGAUCACAUAAGGCCCUCCGGGUUAUUUUAAGGACUCUGGCUUUAUCCUGGAUGAAGUGGUGAAUGGUUACAAGGUUUUGGACAAGAAUAAACUGAGGGGAGAGUGUCAGAGUAGGAAUAGGGAGACAAGUUUUAAGGUUCAGACAAGGGAUUUAGAAAAAUAAAUGAGAAGAGGUAGUUGGAUUUUUUAUCUGUUUUGAAGAGAGCGUGAUUUCCAAAUAAAUUAGAGGUGGGAAUAAGAAAAACAGAGUUGAAAAUGACUGCAAUGUCUUAAGCCUGGGCAGUUGGAAGGAUUGUCACCUUAAACUAUGAUGGGGAAGGAGGUAGGUGGAUCACGUUUUGAGGGGGAAUAUUAGAAGUUCAGUUUUGGAUAUGUUUAUUUUACAUUGUAAGCAGAGAUUCAAGAGUGGAGAUAAAUUUAUAUACCUGGUGUUGGUGGGAGAUGAAGAUAUAGAUGUAGAUUUUGGAGUCAUUUGCAUACUGUUACAAACUAAGUCAUGAGAAACAUAAAAGAGUGAGUAUAGAAAGAAAAGAAAAGACAUGCAAACGGUAAGCCUAAAGUCCUCCAAUAUUAAGAUGUAUGAGACAUAAAGAGGAAUGCCAGGCUGCACUGGGAAUGAGUAACCAGUGAAGUAAGAGAAAAACCAGGCUUUAAUGUCCUUAAGCCCAAUCAAGAAAGUGUAUGAAGGAGAAGGAAUUGAUAGUCUGUACGUCCAGUGAGAUAACUGAACAUUGACUAUCACAGUUAGAAUCAUGGAGGUCAUUAAGAUCAUCGCUAGUAAAAGUUGUGGUGGGAUGAAUGCAUGGUGAAUAGAAAGGAAUUAGAAACAGUGUGUUUAGACAACCGUUACGGGAUUUCUGCUGUACCAGCUAGCCAAGAAAUGGAGCAGCAGCUAACGGGAAAGUAGGAUCAUGGGAAAAAAUGUGAUCGAUGAAGUAACAAUCAGCUGUUUGCUGAUGAGAAUGAUCCUCAAAGGAAGAAAACAAAUAAUGAUUUAGGAGAAAAAGAUAAGAAUUGCUGGCUGGGCCCGGGGUCUCACGCCUAUAAUCCCCACACUUUGAGAGGCCAAGGUGGGCGGAUCACUUGAGGUCAGGAGUUUGAGAACAGCCUGGCCAACAUGGUGAAACCCCAUCUCCACUAAACAUACAAAAAUGAGCUGGGCAUGGUGGCACACUCCUGUAAUCCCAGCUACUCGGGAGGCUGAGGCAAGAGAAUGGCUUGAACCUGGGAGGUGGAGGUUGUAGUGAGCUAAGAUUGCACCACUGCACUCCAGCCUUGGUGACAGAGCAAGACUCUGUCUCAAAAUAAAUAAAUAAUUGCUUCAAUGACAUCCUCAGAUGGAGAGAGUUGCUAGGGUGAUGUCCUUAACUAAGCAAAAGCAAAUGGAAGCUUAAGCACAAGUGGGGGAUUUGGCUGCAUACAGAAACAUAGGAAGUUUGUCUGUGGUAACUGGUUUGGUGUCAUUUGUUUAACAAAGUUCAACCCACACAACUGUACGGUCCUUCAGAACAGAAGACAGAAGCCCUGUCUGUCUUAUCAACCAUUUCAUGUCCAUGGCCUACAUAUUACCGGGCACUGAGUAGAAACUCAGCAUAUAGUUAUUGAAGAGGGAUGGACAGAUGAAUCAAUGUACACAUGGAUGAGCUUCACAUAGUAAAUAAGUCUCCUCCCACUUUUAGUGUAAAAGAUGCAGGUUCAUUGUUUAUUUGCAUUCUACAUAGAAGCCAAUGACGUGGUCUGAGCACUUAAAAGCAUUAUAUGAAAUGAACCAACCCAC
This 4296-nucleotide long non-coding RNA is filed under the name Homo sapiens (human). RNAcentral describes it as "HSALNT0050452". Lineage: Eukaryota; Metazoa; Chordata; Mammalia; Primates; Hominidae. The record is from RNAcentral.